Non-coding RNA from Bos taurus (domestic cattle), 73 nucleotides. Lineage: Eukaryota; Metazoa; Chordata; Mammalia; Artiodactyla; Bovidae. The record is from Rfam.
UCCCUGGUGGCUUAGAUGGUAAAGAAUCUGCCUGCAAUGCAGGUGACCCAGGUUUGAUCUCUGGGUUAGGAAG